This is a long non-coding RNA of Myotis daubentonii (Daubenton's bat), 2219 nucleotides long. RefSeq lists it as uncharacterized. The record is from RefSeq and is a predicted model, not a curated record. The transcript is spliced from 2 exons. NCBI's taxonomy places the organism in Eukaryota, Metazoa, Chordata, Mammalia, Chiroptera, Vespertilionidae.
UUGUUUACAGAGCGUCUCUGUCUUGGGGGAGGGGUGGUGGUGAGGGGCCCCUUGGAGCUGGGAGAGAAGGGUGUGAGCUGCUAGUCCUGGUUGUGCCAGCUGUGCGCAAAGUCACUGCCCUCAGGCCAAGGGCCGGGCUGGGAAUGCAAAUGAGGAUGUGGUUUGAGAGGUUUUGGGGGAUGAGCAGCUUCUUAGUUAGGGACCAGUCUGCAUCAGGAGGCCUUUAGCCUAGAGUGCAAGGGGCAGGUUCCUAUUUGAGACUCCUACAGAAGUCCCCAAACAGCUUCCCUGCCAAGGGUCAGGUGGGGCAGACUGACCUGCCUAUCCCCUUCUCCAGGCUGACCCAUGAGGCAAGCACAGGCCGCUUUUAUCUCCCUUCUUACCCACCAAGCUAUGUGCUCAUUGAUUAUUUAAAAAUAUGUUUUUAUUGAUUUUAGAGGAAGGGAGAAGGGGAAGAGAUAGAAACAUAAAUGAUGAGAGAAUCAUUGAUCAGCUGCCUCCUGCACACCCCCUCCUAGGGACUGAGCCUGCAACCCAGGCAUGUGCCCUGACCAUGACCUCCUGGUUCAUGAGUCGAUGUUCAACCACUGAGCCACACCAGCUGGGCUUGAUUUUUUUUUUUUUUAAUCCUAUGGGGGGAAAUUCCUCAGAAUUGAGUGUGUGUGGGGAAAAAAAAUGGAGUGUGUUUUAUUUUUAACAUUUUAUUAGGGAAAAAUUUAAACCUGUUAAAAAUAAUACAUGUUGAACCUUUAAGUACCAAUUACCCAGGUUCGGCAGGAAACCCACCUAUGUCAUUUCUAUGUACACCCAGCACCGACAACUGAACUGUUUCGGAGGCAAGUCUCAGGUGUAGCGUUGCCCCUGUGUACACCCAGCAUGCAUCUCUAAGAGAGAAGCGUAUUUAUUUAUUUAUUUUUAUAUAUUUUUUAAAAUAUGUUGUAUUGAUUUUUUUACAGAGAAGAAGGGAGAGGGAUAUAGAGUUAGAAAUAUCGAUGGGAGAGAAACAUUGAUCAGCUGCCUCCUGCACACCUCCUACUGGGGAUGUGCCCACAACCAAGGUACAUGCCCUUGACCAGAAUCGAACCUGGGACCUUUGAGUCCGCAGGCUGAUGCUCUAUCCACUGAGCCAAACUGGUUAGGGCGAGAUAAGGGUAUUUAAAACAUUAUUACUAUUGCUACUCCUGGAAAAGUGGGCAGUAAUUCCUUCCUAUGAAAUCCCUAGUUUCAGUCCAGUUUCCUAAUUGUCUCCUGAGUAAGCUUUGUGUUGAUAGUCUCCUUGAAGGGGGAUGUAGAUGAGGUUCACGUGUUGCUUUUGGUUGACGUGUAAGGUUUUCUGAGUACCCUUCUUGUUUUUUCUUAGAAAUUUCUUGUUGAAGAAAUUGGGUCUCCUAGAGUUUCCCACUAUCUGGGUCUUACUGAUUACAUCCUUUCGGUAUCUUACAUGUUACUCCGUCUCCUCUGUUUCCAUUAAGUUGAUCAUUUUAUCUACAGGCUUGAUCAGAUUCAGGUUCAGUUGGGGUGGGGGUGGGGUGGGGACCAGAGCCUCAGACAUGGUGUCCACCGGGAAACAUGGUGUUCAGUUGCCUUUUCUUUUGUAUGGGUCCUUAGAUCUGUUUUUUUCACUAGGUGACUUUCUGCUUUUGACAUUCCUUCAUUCAUAAGCUGGAAUCCUACUAUAAAGAAAAACUUUUCCUCAUUAACUACGUGCUUAUCCUGAGGUAUACUUUAUAUAGGAAAAGCAGAUUAAAUCCUUCCAUUUAUUAGAGAUGUAUUUGGAAUAAUGAGUUGGUUUCUUGACAUCCUCCAAACGUUUCCAGUGAGUUUUUUAGCAUAAGUAUUAAUCCAUUAAUUUAAACAUAUUUGACAUGUUUCCGUUCAUUGCAGUUGUCUUUAUUGAUGCUCAAAUUAUCACACCUUUGCCAGUAGGAGACUUUUAAAAUAAGCUCCUGAGUCCCUUGGACACAGUCACAAUAGUCUAAGCGAUAUGUCUUACUUUCUGGAAAGAAGUCCACGGUCAUGUAUGUUUCCGGCUCCAGAUGUGAACUUAACCAUUCCUCUGAGGCAGGGGCUGCAAACCUUUCCAGUUAAAGGCCCAAAUAGUAAAUACGUUAGGUCUUGCAGGCCACAUACUCUGUCACAACUGUCGUGGCAUGACAGCAGCCAUAAUAGUAAAUGAAUGAGUAUGGCUGUAUUCCAAUAAAACUGUUUAUGGUCCCUGA